UAGGGAAUCUUCGGCAAUGGACGGAAGUCUGACCGAGCAACGCCGCGUGAGUGAAGAAGGUUUUCGGAUCGUAAAGCUCUGUUGUGAGAGAAGAACGAGUGUGAGAGUGGAAAGUUCACACUGUGACGGUAUCUUACCAGAAAGGGACGGCUAACUACGUGCCAGCAGCCGCGGUAAUGCGUAGGUCCCGAGCGUUGUCCGGAUUUAUUGGGCGUAAAGCGAGCGCAGGCGGUUAGAUAAGUCUGAAGUUAAAGGCUGUGGCUUAACCAUAGUACGCUUUGGAAACUGUUUAACUUGAGUGCAAGAGGGGAGAGUGGAAUUCCAUGUGUAGCGGUGAAAUGCGUAGAUAUAUGGAGGAACACCGGUGGCGAAAGCGGCUCUCUGGCUUGUAACUGACGCUGAGGCUCGAAAGCGUGGGGAGCAAACAGGAUUAGAUACCCUGGUAGUCCACGCCGUAAACGAUGAGUGCUAGGUGUUAGACCCUUUCCGGGGUUUAGUGCCGCAGCUAACGCAUUAAGCACUCCGCCUGGGGAGUACGACCGCAAGGUUGAAACUC
This 556-nucleotide ribosomal RNA is filed under the name uncultured bacterium. Its description in RNAcentral is "partial 16S ribosomal RNA". It matches the Rfam family "Bacterial small subunit ribosomal RNA", at positions 355 to 902 of the family's 1533-position model. The record is from RNAcentral.